RNAcentral lists this long non-coding RNA (10608 nucleotides) under Sorghum bicolor (sorghum). RNAcentral's name for it is "long non-coding RNA (SBIC_LNC013442)". Lineage: Eukaryota; Viridiplantae; Streptophyta; Magnoliopsida; Poales; Poaceae. The record is from RNAcentral.
CACAUCUACAACGACACCAACGUCGACGGAGCCUUUGCAAGGACAAGGCAAUCAGGUUGUCCUAGCACCUCAGGAACAGGUGACAACAACUUGGCACCAUUGGACCUUCAAACACCAACCGUCUUUGAGAACGACUACUACAAGAACCUUGUUAGCAACAUGGGGCUCCUACACUCUGACCAAGAGCUCUUCAACGGUGGCGCCACCGACGCGCUAGUGCAAUCAUAUGUUAGUAGCCAAAGCGCGUUUUUUGCAGAUUUUGUGACUGGCAUGAUCAAGAUGGGUGACAUUACACCGUUGACGGGCUCCGCUGGGGAGAUCAGGAAGAACUGCAGAAGGAUUAAUUAACUGAGAGGAUUGGGAGAAUAUUGAGGCUUUUUCUUCAGUCAUAUGUACGUGUUGAGCAACUUCAUGGCUUUAUUUCUCUUAUUUCUAUUCUUUUUUUUCUUUUUGCAAAAUUGUGAAGUCAUUGUGUUGUAUCGAUGUGUUCUCAUCACAUGUCGGUUUGUUUCAUCAAUAAUAAAUGUAUCACUUUUGUCUACUUUUCAUUCUUUUUUAUUUGAAUUACUAUUUUAUAUAUAAUGCAUUGCGGAAGGACUAUAACAACGUCUGCAGUUUGUUCACAUUCAGAGCCUGUUAGGUUGAGUAUUUAGAUAAACUCGCCUGACCAAGCAGCAAUCCAGAUUGUCAAGUGCCUGCUGGUGGCCAAAAAUCGCUGACUUUCAGGUCACGAACCAGUUUGAUGAUACAUGCUACACUCUCCGGUAUGGAGAAUCACUUACGGUAUUUGGCAUGACAAGAUUUCCGCUAAACUAAUAACAAAGCAUAUAUACUGUACAUGUGUAUGCACUUGUGCAGAGAGAGUAGUGUAUAUAUAUAUAUAUAUAUAUAUAUAUAUAUAUAUAUAUAUAUAUAGUUUGUUUAACAACAAUUGACCACUAUAACUAGAUAUCUUCAUGGUUAGUUAUAUAUAUAGCAGUUAUUAGGCGCACAAGGAUAAGAUUUUAUGUUCUGGCCCCAUUCUUGAACAGAUUUUACAUUUGAAUGUCCGCGUAAUUAAGGUCAUUGAAAAAAAGUAGGGCUUUAAGUCAGAAUCUAAUAUUUUGGAAUUAAUCACUAUAAAUACGUUCAUGCAUGUGUGAAACUUGUUUCAUCAGAAAAAUAAAUUAAGUAGCAGAAACUUUUCACUUAUGUGAAUUUCUAUCUGUCAUAUGUGAAUUUGUGUAGCAUAAACUUUUUCAUGUAAGUGAUUGGUUUGUCUGUUAUUAUACGUGAAUUUGUAUCAGUGUUGCGAUGACAUCUCAUAUACGCGACGGUUUUUCCCAUGGUGAAAUCUCCAUCUUAAUUGAUACAAUGCAACUGGAGUUAUAUAUAUUUAUAUAGCAUCAUAGCUUGGGCGGCUUAGCUAGAAAAGUAAAAUAAAACUAAAACACAAAGCUAAAACCUUUGACUACAGCUUUAUUAUUUAUGCAUAGGUGUUAGGGUGCGAUUGUAGUCCCAUCUUUGUCAAACAUAGUGUCUCUAAAGUUAUUAUCUUUGACAAGAAUGAUAGGUUUGGACUCGGACGCCACUUUUGCUUACUAUAAACUGAUAUUCAUCCUCGCUUAUUUUGCAUUUUUUUCAUAUUGAUGCUUGGUGUUAUUUCAUCACAAACAAGAAAGCUAAUCCAACUUGAUCCAGUUUAAAAGGUCCGUCAUCAAAUGCAGCUUAUCAUGCGCUAUAUUGUAGAGCUGCAGGUAUGUUGCUGCUUGUGAUUGCAUGGUGGACUCAAAACAAAGAUUAAGAAGUGAGUAUAAGCCUGAAAUUACGGCUGCAAUUUUAAAUAGAGUUUAUGGAGAACAGUAUCUCAAUUGUUAAGAUUCCUGAAAAUUACCGGAUCACCCCUCUUUCCCUUUUUUUUAUUUUUCAAAAAUCUUUGUUGUUAUAGAUACAUUCACAAGCUACCUAGCAAAUUAAGUAACCAUGUUUGAGUUCGAGCUGAACACAGAUAUAAGAAGGAAUGAAAUUUGUCAAACACUCAAACACAGAAAUCAGGAGAGCUGAUCACUGGUGCUUGUUCAAUUCCUUCAGUCAAUCAGAUACAAAAAUAGGAUAGUUGGCUCAAUCAUAGUAUGGCUAGGUCAUGUAUGUGUUGCUGAUUUUUCCGCAGCUGCCAGCUACAACGUACCUGCAGGAGUCAGCAAUCUUGGCUUUCUCCUUGUCCAUGGGUUCGGUAUCGCUCCAAUCUAGCUGAUUGUUCUGACUAAGGGCUCUGACUAAUCUUUUUUUGCAUUCUCUAAUCAGCUGCUUGCACUGCUAUGAUGUAAGCACUGGCUUAUUUGUUGACAUGCGAAAAAAGGGGGGAAAGUAUAAGGUAUAAAAAGCUUCCUCAAGAAAUGGAACAAAUUAAAUCAAACUAAAUAUCAAUCCUACUGAAAAAAGACAUGUACUUAAUGGCGGCCUUUGUAUAUAAAGUGGUUUUGGGGUCAAGUGUGCCUGAUGCUAACUUUAGAAGGAAAUACCUUUAUUUUGUGAGUUAAUGUUUCAAUUUCUCAUUGUUCUAUUCCGUCCAUACCAAAGUAUAAACAUUUAUAGCAUUUAGUGAAUUUGUCUCAAAAUAUAAGCACUUACCAGAAUUCAAACAUAUAUCUACCCCCACAAUUAAUUAAUUGAUACCAUGAAAAUCACCUUGUUGCUCAACUCGUGAUUGACACUAAUUUGUUGUGAUAUGUGCAACAAUAAAAACACAUUUACAGAAGGCAACAAUUAGCCCAACAUCUGGCCAACAAUUAAGCCAAUUAUGAGUCAUCUUGGUUCCCUUAUCUAAAAAAUGAGUCAUGUUGGCUACAUGGUGAAGGGUACAUUUGGCUUACUGCUGGUUCUAAAAUGAGAAAUUCUUGUAUUUGGUUGGAGAGAGUAGAUGGACAUAGCCAUGGUUGGGCUGCAGAACAUUUGCCUCGUAUGAGUACAUCGAGAGAGCUUCACAACUACGAGGCUCAAGCUUAGGGAUGAGUAGAAAUAGUUGUAUUGCCAUGUCAUUUUCAAGUCUACAAAAUUGCAUUGUCAUGGGAUGUCACCAUGGUUCUACUCCCAAAAUGCCAUUUCAGCUCCCCACACUUGUCCUAGGACUUCAUCUCGAUCUCCAAACUUGUCAAAGGAUGUUGUCUAGAUCCAAACAAGCCACUCGCUCAUAUUCCACAUUUGAGAACUAAGGGAAUCCCUAUGUAAAUAUGGAUGUUGAGACGUUACUGAUUGGUCACUCUUAUAUGCUCUGAAAUAAAGAAAAAUCCUUGAAAAUUCUCACAACACAAUUAGAAAUAGUUGUUUGUUGAUUUUGUACAUUAAUCGUUAUUGAUAAUAGCAUUAUGUCUAUUAUGUUUUCUAAACGAUACCUAUCUCUCAAUUAUCAAAAUACUCUAAAUUAACACCAUGCAUAUAUAUAUUUCAAUCACCUAAAUUAGUCACCUAUUUUUUUUAAAAAAAAUUAUACAUCCAUGCCAUAUGAAAUAUACUCUAAAGAAACCCCUAAAUUUGUAUCUAAAAAUAAUUAAAGGAAUAGGCCUCCUCACCUAUGUAAUUACAAAAAGUUUUAGAAUAACACCUUAAUCUCGAUCUAAAUUGACCACCUCCAGUGCGAAAGAUAAUAUAAAGUAAAAAUAUCUACAUUAGGCAUCUCCAUCACUAUUAAUAUUUAUAAUAACUUCCUCUUACGCUUCUAUUAAAAUAAUCUAAAGUAAAUCCUAAAUUUGCAUAUAAAUUACUCACCUUUGGUCUUACUAAAAAUAUCUUGAAUUGAUUCUUGCCAAGUUUUCUUUUAGCUUACAUACAUAUGUCAUUAAUGAAAAUACCUCAAACUACUUAUAUAUAUGAAUUGUAAUUAUCAAUUUUCCUUAUAAAUUAUCAAUUUUAAAAUUUUCAAAUUUGGAAACUAACUCAAGUAAAUAUACAUGACUUGUGUUAGCAACUCAGCAUUCACACCACAUACACAUGUAAGCAUGGUGCAAUGAUCAUAUCUAUGCAUCAAACACAUAUGUUAAGAUUUCGACUAACACAUAGAAAACCCACAUAGAGGAGAACACUAAGAAUAGGGAUGAAAAAGUGUAUAAAAGAAUUGGUAAGUAAAGUGUAUGACAACAAGGCAAAGAUAAGAGCAUGUGCAUGUAUAUGAGUUGCAUGUUAUUAGAAUCUUAAUACUCCUAACUGGAGGUCUUCAAUUAAGAGAGCCUCAACGUUAGGAGGUCUUCAAUAGAGCCUCCACGUUAAUCCUCACAUGACACAAUAGGAAAAAUAUAAACCCUAGAAAUUCUCAUAGAAAUUAGAAUAAUUUCACUAUCAAUUUGUAGACUCGUAAUCAAAAUUGCCAAUAAUAAGCUUUUGGAUCUAUAUUUUUAUGUAGUUAUCAGAUCUAUUCUAUUUCCUAAAAAAUUGCCCACAUCUAUGGUUCUAAAAAACAUAAAGUAACCCCUAAAUUUACUUUUAAAUAACCAACACUUGCUAUUAUAAAACAUAAUUUAUAGUAAGCCCCUAAAUUUUCAUUUCAAUUAUCCCACAAAUGCUAUAUGAUAAAUUUGAGAUGUUAUUUAGAUAAUUUUAUACAUUUUAACUGAAACAUUAUGACUUAUCAAUACUAAGCAUUCAUUUUUUUAUACUACACAUACAAUCCUUUCAUAGAAGAAAUCCAACAUCUAAGUGCUAUGUUGCAUGGCAAAAUAAUUGUUUGUGUUGCUUUAGUGACUAAGAGUACAAGACCUACAAUCAUGUCCAUUGUUAAAUAAAACAUAUAAAAUGGAAAUUGUAAAUAAAAUAUACUAGAAGCACAAUAUCAACUUAACAUGUGGAUAAAAAUUGCAAUAACUAAUAAGAUCAAAAUUUGAUCCAUUAUAAUAAAAAUAAGGAUGUAAUAACCAGAGCCAUAACUACUUAAGCUACGAUUUGAACUAAACACAUGUAAAUAAAAAUAGUGUCACUGAUAAUUAUCACAACCACGAACAUAAUAUAGAGUAUAUAAAUAAUGGGUAUUUUUGUUAAGAAAUAAUGAGAGAAAGAGGGAGAUAAUAAAAAAUAUAAGCAAUUCUGAUUGUUCUAUCUACUAAUUUUUUUCUUCACAGAAACUUUUAAUACUUAUGUAACAUAAAAUUCUAGGCCGUACCGGAGCAUGGGUUGAUGCAUAUGGGCUUGUGUAAAGAAAUUAGAGACCGCAACAAUAAGCAACUUUGAUUUAGGUUAGUGUUUUGUCAUAGUUGUUUGGUGGCGACCCACCUUCUCUCUUUAAUUAAUGUGAGUAGAAAUGCCUAAAACAUAUUUUCAGCGAAGCUAUACAUACUUGUAUUACUUAAAUAAUAUAUAUCAUCCUCGAUCAAAAUGGUCUCUAUAUUGAAAAGUAGGCAGCAUUGCAUUUGGAACCUUCUCCUUUGAAUAUUCUCGAUCGCUUUAUUUAGAAGCAAGAUGGAGAGCAUAGCAGCUAGAACUGCUGAAAUGAAAAAAUUUUGGUACUCGAACGACUUGGGUCGCAACUGGGUUGUUGGAUGCGUGAACUGCACGCCUGCCUCCUUGUAGCAUGGAAAAUUCAGUGGACUCUUGUCGACAUUCUUGUAAAAUUAUUGUGAAUCUACUGUGUACUCAAAAGUCAAAAUACAAAGUCCUCGUCCAGGCAAUAUAUAUACAUAAUACAUGCAAAUUAAAUUAAGCUUCUUCACAACACCUACUGCUCUGACCUUGAGGGCUUAUAUGCUUGUCCUAUUCAGUAUAUAUUCACAACAACUCUUGCAAGCAAAACAUCCACAACAUGCAUGCAUCUCUGGAAGGUUGGGGCGGCUGUUUGACUCCUUUUCAUAGAUUUAGUCUGACAAACAAAAUAAAUGAGGGCAACAAAACAUACAAACAGAUAUUUCCAUAUUUACAGUACCAGGGAGAGAGAGAGAGUUGUUUGGAAAUGUACUAUUAUAUGUGAUCUUGAUGGAGCGUAGUCAAAUUGUAUAGUUUAUUAUUAAAUACAAGUAUGAACAUAGUUCUCUCCAAGGCAGCCACACUACCAGUGCCAAGCAUGUCUCUGAAUUAUUUCCAUGAUGGUGAUGUGAGUAGAUAUGUUUGACCCUUGGCCUCUGAGAAUGCUUCUGAUCGAGUAUGGACUAUGCAUGGUAGCACAAUGUGCAGAAGGAGCCUCGCUCUGAAUGCUGAUGUGAGCAGAUAUGUAAUUCUGUCUCUGAAUGGUUCCAUCCAUAUAUCUGCAACUGUUGAUAGCUAGAUGAUCAAAAUCUUGAUCAGUUCAGCGGAAAUAAAUUAAAUACUGGGUAGGAGUCGUAGCUUCGCCGAACCGUUCCUAUUAGGACGCUAUGCACGGGUAGGCCGGGUUGCUAGGGUAACUUUUAUCAAACCGUGUUUCUAUUUGUUGCAUUGCUUGGAGACAAUACAACAUACGUCGGAUUGACUAAAAGCAAAACUCCAUGCUUGCACGCUUUCCUAAAGUACAGACAGUCUCCAUACAUACACAGUAGCAAUGUGAAAGGCGCGAGUGAUUCCGAUCCUUGCACUACCGGACAGCAGGGGUUUGCCGUGUGUUUGGCGCACACGGCAAAGCCCAAAUUACACACGGCGAAGGCUUUGCCGUGUGUUGCUCACGGCAAAGAACACACGGCAAACUCUUUCACGGUGAAUCCUAUUUUUACUCACGGCCAAAUUAUGGGCACACGGCGAAACUUUGCCGUGAGUCAAUCUUGACACACGGCAAAGAAAAGAUAACGAACGGUGGGAGACGGCCUAACGGCAGGGUUUGCCGUGUGUCACCAUGUAGACACACGGCAAAGUCUCAAUGUUUGCCGUGUGCCCAAAGAAAAGAUAACGAACGGUGGGAGACGGCCUAACGGCAGGGUUUGCCGUGUGUCACCAUGUAGACACACGGCGAAGUCUCAAUGUUUGCCGUGUGCCAGGGUUGGGCACACGGCAAACCCCAACGAAAAAAAUUUAAAGUCUUGAACUUUUUUGCGGCCCAUGAGAUUCGAACCUAUGACCUCCCUCUCGUGUUUCUUCACUCUUAGCCACUGCACCACACUAUGACUUCUGUUUAUAUUGCAUUUCGGUUGCUCAAAUAUUAUAUCAAAUUAUGUGUAAAUUGAUAAUUUGAGGUCCUAAAUAAUUUCAAAUCAAAAAGUUGUCAACUACAAAGUUUCAUAACUUUUUGGGAUCUACAAUUUUCAUUUAGGGAGUUUCUUCAUCCGAGGUCGUUUACAAAAUUUAAAUUUCAAAUUUGAGAAAUUCAAACGUAGUUUUUGCAUGACAAGAUGAUUCCAAAAUAAAAAGUUGUCAACUACAAAGUUUCAUAACUUUUUGAGAUCUACAAAGUUUAUUUAGAGAGUUUUUCCAUCCGAGGUUAUUUUAAAAAUUGAAAAUUUAAAAUUUUCAAUUAAAAUGCUGAAAAUAAUUAAGAAAUAGUAAACAAUUCCAAAAAAUUUCUAAACUUGGACACGACACAACCUAUAUGGUGCAGUGCCUAUAGAAAAAGUUUUAAAAUCAAAUUCAAAUAUAAAAGUCAAAUCUACUCCAACUCAUGCUUCUUCACUCAUAUCUCUAUGGAACUUCUUCGAAGAUUGUCUGGUUUCUAUACAUCAUACAUGACAACUUGUUCGAAAUCUUUCCAAACUUUUUUUAUGGCCUCUAUGUAUGAUAACAUGACAUAUGUAUAAGUUUCAGGAUUUACGGAAUAAAAUAGUAUUUAUUAGAAUUUUCGAAAUGUACCGACACACGUUCCGCGUCGUGUCUCCUAACCACGGCAUUCAAAAGUCAUUUCCGUUUCGAAUGUGUGUUCUCAAACAGGGUUGGGUAACAUGAAUAUUAUUUUUUUGAUAUUUUUUUCCAACUAUUUCACUGACUCGUAGUUCAAAUUUGAACGUAACCGGAAAAAUAAAAAUAAAUAAUGUUAAUUGUAAAAUAUAGCAAACAUGUUUCAAAUUUUAUGAAAUUUGAGUAUGGAGUUACAAAUGGUGAAUGUGUAGAGAAUAAAAAAUUUGGAGGACAAAAACUGAAAAAAAAGAUAAAUUAUUUGCCGUGUGUCGCACCCGUGGCACACGGCAAAGUUUGUGUUUGCCGUGUGCCAGCCUCAAGCACACGGCAAACCCAGGCUUUGCCGUGUGCCUAACGGCCGCACACGGCAAACGUUGACGGCUGGAGGUGGGCGUUAGCGUAGGUUAGCUUUUGUCGUGUGUCCUGUUUUUGCCGUGUGUUGCUCACGGCAAAAGUUUGAGUUCGCCGUGUGUCUGGUGUUUGCCGUGUGCAACACACGGCAAAGGACAGAUAUACCGUGUGCCUAGCGUUUGCCGUGUGCUUGGAUUAGACACACGGCAAACUCGACCUUUGCCGUGUGUUGCUCACGGCAAACGGGCGGACACACGGCAAAGGCCGGCUCUCCGGUAGUGUUGCAUUGCUGUUGGGCAAGCAACCUUGAUUGUCGGCUUUUCAACUCGUCGAUCGAAGUCCUACAUAGUAGUGAUGUGAAGCCGGUGAUUUACCUAAUCAUAUAUAUAUAUAUAUAUAUAUAUAUAUUUAUGCAUUCAUGCAUGCAUGGAGUGCUUGCUAUAUACUGCCUAGCUAGCUUCAAGCUUAUACUAACAGACUUAGGCCCGGUUUGGUUUGUGCUGAUUUUUUUUAGCACAUAUCCCAUCAAAUAUUUGGACAUAUGCAUGGAGUACUAAGACCUUAUUUAGUUUCCUUAUGAAAACUUUUUGGGACUCUAUAGCACUUUCAUUUGUAUGUGUUAAUUAUUGUCCAAGUAUGAACUAAUUAGUCUCAAAAGAUUUAUCUCGCAAAUUACAGGCAAACCAUAUAAUUAGUUUAUUUAAUAUAUAUUUAAUGCUCCAUACAUAUGCCGUAAAAUUCGAUGUGACAGAUAAUCUUGAAAAGUUUUUGGCUUUUAAGAAGAACUAAACAAGACCUAAAUAUAUUAUUUAAACUAUUUACGAAACUAAAAAUACGGAGACAAAUUUUUUAAGCUUAGUUAGUCUAUAAUUAAACACUAGUUAUCAAAUAAAAUAAAAAAACUACAAUAUUCGCUAAAUUUUAACACCUCCAACCAACCACCGGAUAAGUCCACGGACUGAGUCCAGGAGUUCCUGCUAUAAAUAUGGAUGUCCUGAUGUCCAUGUUCCCCAGCAAGCUAGCUACCUCCACCUGCAAGCAAUACACCUCCCUGCACUCGGGAGGCUAGACUAGCUAGCUUGUGUACGAGAUGGCUGCUCCAUCAGCCCCGAGCGGCGGCAGAUCAGGCGUCAUCGCUGUCCUCUUGCUUCUUGUGUUGCUGGCCGGCACCGGCACCUCGUCGGCGCAGCUGUGCACCAGCUUCUACUCCCACUCGUGUCCCGGCGUGUACGACGCCGUCAGGUCGGUGUUGCAGGCCGCCAUCGCCAGGGAGCAGCGCAUGGGCGCCUCCAUCCUCCGCCUCUUCUUCCACGACUGCUUCGUCCAGGGCUGCGACGCCUCGCUGCUGCUGGAUGACACGCCCAGUUUCCAGGGCGAGAAGAUGGCCAACCCCAACAACGGCUCCGCCAGAGGAUUCGAGGUCAUCGACGCCAUCAAGUCCGCCGUCGACAAGGUCUGUCCCGGCGUCGUCUCCUGCGCUGACAUCCUCGCCAUCGCCGCAAGAGACAGCGUCGUCAUCGUAAGCCUACUAGCUAGCCGCCCUUGUAGUAUAUAUUCUUAAUUUGAAUCACUUUCAGAGCUAGAAAGAUGCAUGAGACUGAACCUGCAACUGAUGGAUGCAUUGCAUGCACACUGACACAUGCAGCUGGGUGGUCCGAGCUGGGACGUCAAGGUCGGGAGGAGGGACUCGAGGACGGCGAGCUUCAGCGGCGCCAACAACAACAUCCCGCCGCCGACGUCGGGCCUCGUCAACCUCACCUCGCUCUUCGCCGCGCAAGGCCUCUCCCAAAAGGACAUGGUCGCGCUAUCUGGUGCGUAUUUUAUUAUACAAUAUUCCCACUACGACAGUACGUGGUAAUUAACUACUAGCUGUAAAUAAAUGCAAUGCUAAAUCUCCAAGAAAACUUUGUCUCUCAUUUUUUUUUUCGAAGAACUUUGUCUCUCAACUUAAUUUGGAGAUAUAAUUCUCCACACUGUUUCUCAACCACUAGCUCAACAUAGAUAUUUGGGAGAUAAGUUUAUGUGCUAGAUUAAAUUAAGUGGUAUAGUAUAGAUCAUUCAUUUCCUCCACUCCAUUUUGUAACUUUGUACGUAUCAUGUUCAAUUCGCUCCAAAUCUAAGUCACUAAAUAUUUUCAUGUAUGUGUCGCUUUGCCUCUUUUGCCAGGAGCCCACACCAUUGGCUUAGCACGCUGCACCAACUUCAGAGCCCACAUAUACAAUGACACCAACAUCGACGGCAGCUUCGCAAGAUCAAGGCAAUCGGUUUGCCCUAGGACCUCAGGUUCAGGUGACAAUAAUUUGGCGCCUCUAGACCUUCAAACCCCAACUGUCUUUGAGAACAACUACUACAAGAACCUUGUUUACAAGAAGGGGAUUCUACACUCUGACCAAGAGCUCUUCAAUGGUGGAUCAACCGAUGCGCAAGUCCAAUCAUACGUUAGUAGCCAGAGCGCGUUCUUUGCGGACUUUGUGACUGGCAUGAUCAAAAUGGGUGACAUCA